Molecule: long non-coding RNA, 1230 nt
Filed under: Brassica napus (rape)
Lineage: Eukaryota; Viridiplantae; Streptophyta; Magnoliopsida; Brassicales; Brassicaceae
Description: long non-coding RNA (BNAP_LNC020706)
Source: RNAcentral
GUAUGUGGUGUUGACACCUAGAGCUGUUCAAUAUGGUAAAACCGAACCGUACCGAACCGAACCGAACCGAAAUAGACAAUAUGGUUUGGUUUUGGUAUAUACCAUAUAAACCGAAUGGAUAUAAUUUUAUAAAAACCGUAGGAUUUGGAUAUGGUUUGGUAUAUAACCGAUUAAACCGAAUAAACCGAACAAAACCGAUUAAAAGUAGAAACAUGUAAAUAUGUAUCUAUUUUAUAACAAUACAUGAAAAUCUAUUUGUUAUAUAAGUUAAAUUUGUGUUAAUAACUAUUACCAUAAUGUUAUAGUAAUAAAGAACUUAUAUUAAUUUGUAAAACACUUGAAUACAUCGCAAUUCAGACAUCUUAUUUUCUAAGUUUUUUUUUUUUAUCUUUUUGCUUUAUUUUAGUAUUCACUAAAUUAAUAUGAAGAUGAUAAAUUUGACGGAAAAUAAUUAAUGAAAAAUUUUCACUAACUUUUUUCUUAUCUAUAAACAAACAGAGUUUCAUGUUCAAUCAAAAAAUCAUGACUUUAAUGAACACUAAAUAUGGAAGAGUGGAAAAACUUUUCUUUCAUGUUUCUGUUUUGUUUCAUAUUUUUAUUUUCAAAAUUUCAGGCUCUGAUUUUAAUUAUAGAUUUGAUGAUUUUAUUUGAUGGUAGAAGCAUUUUUACGUUUUUGUUCAUUUAUUUGAACAUGUAAUAUAUUUUUAAUAAAUGACUGUGUUGACAAUAUGACUCUAAAAUUUAUUUUAUUGAUCUCAAACUAAAUAAUUAUGUUUUUUUGGUAUAAAACCGAAUAAACCGAAAACCGACGGUAUAUAAACCGAACCGAACCGAAGUAAAUAUAUAUUUAGAAUGGUAGUUAUAUUUUACUAACCGAAAUACCGAAAACCGAAAAAAACCGAACCUAAACCGAACCGAUAUUCGGAUUGAACACACCUCAUAAAAAAUGGCAAAGUUGUGAAUAUAGUACCAAAUAAAUGUUAAUCUCCCAGAAUGUUUCCCUAUUAAUAAGAAAAGGAUGGAUAUAUGUGUUGAUUAGAGGAAUUGUAUAUUUAGAAAUGUUGAAGAAGAACACCAUAGUUUUAUUUAUGCUAGAUUUCACUUCCAAUCUACUAUAUGAUAACAAAGCGACCAAGGGCCUUGAUUCUUGACUAUUGUUAGUCCAACUCCAAUGAUUUGGGGUUUGAGGAUAAUAACUCAUGGAAUACCAUUGGGAAAGGUUGCUCCAAA